GUUGUUCAGCUUGGAGAAGAAAAGGCUCUGAGGGAGCCUGAUAGCGGUCUUUCAGUAUCUUUGGGGAGCUACAGGAAAGAAGGGGACAGACUCUUUGGUAGGGUCUGUGGUGACAGAACAAGGGGGAAAUGGCUUCAAGCUUAAAGAGGGUAGAUUUAGGUUAGAUGUAAGGAAAAAGUCUUUUACGGUGAGGGUGGUGAAGCACUGGAACAGGUUACGUAGUGCCAUUGAAGGGCAAAAUCAGGUCCCUGAAGUAUAGAAAGAAGGGCUUCAUAGCAAGAAAAGAGAAAGCAGCUUCACAAAGUAGACAUAAGGAGCAAAUAGUUUAUGUAGAGAGUAUUAGAAAACAAGGGAUUCCAAGCACUUUCACAGGUGCUAGGUCCAGAAUAACAAGGAGAAUGAAGGCCAAAAAGAUAAGGACCGGAGAACAGCUCGAAAACAUUUGGCAGGGAGGUGAUUAGAUGUCUGAUGUGCAAGCUGAAACCAGUUUGGGGGAUGCCCCCCCCCUUCAGGGUCAGAAGUUUGCAGCGAGGAAGACUAUGAGCCUUCAUCAUCACGACCUACUACGCACACGCAAGGGGGGGAGGGACUGUAUGCUAAUGGGCUCUCGGGAAUGUAGUGAAUAUGUAUCCAAAUUCCUGAUUAUGUAUUAGUUUGACCUAUAUCUAUAGCACGAUUUCUUUGGACGGUGUGCAAGUUAGGUGGAACGAUCCCCCUUGUACCAGGGUGUACGCGCGUCACCAAUAAACACAUACCUGC
This 759-nucleotide long non-coding RNA is filed under the name Gallus gallus (chicken). Lineage: Eukaryota; Metazoa; Chordata; Aves; Galliformes; Phasianidae. The record is from RNAcentral.